CAGGAGGAAGCCGAAAAUCCUUGAUUAGAGUAGGCC
RNAcentral lists this non-coding RNA (36 nucleotides) under unclassified sequences. RNAcentral describes it as "DUF805b RNA". It matches the Rfam family "DUF805b RNA". Rfam says of the family: Bacteroidetes, Chlorobi (1 example), Proteobacteria. Lineage (Flavobacteria) The record is from RNAcentral.